Long non-coding RNA from Trifolium pratense (red clover), 3213 nucleotides. RefSeq lists it as uncharacterized. The transcript is spliced from 5 exons. Lineage: Eukaryota; Viridiplantae; Streptophyta; Magnoliopsida; Fabales; Fabaceae. The record is from RefSeq and is a predicted model, not a curated record.
GAUUCCCAAAGUCACAUUCCCGGGAAUACAUUUAUAAUCCAUGAAACAAACACCCCGAGUCUCACCGAGGAACCUUGAAUCGGCGAUCAGUUGAACUGCGAUGCUGCGAACCCUAAAUCCCCAAUCGGGGUUCUAGCUCCUCCGACCGUCGGCGCUGUCGCGGUUUGUCACCGAUUUUGAAGUUCCUCUCAGGUGUGUUUCAAUUGCUCAGUCUCUCUUUCCGUUUUGCACAGUUCCAAUUCAUACUGUAGCGGACUGUCUUAGGGAUUUCAUUUUGGUUUUGUGGGCUGGUUGUGUUGUGUGUGACUGUGCUUUUUAUGAGCUUAUACGAUCGAGUUUGUAGCUAAGAAAGGAAAUGUCGUUCGACAAUCAACCAUUUUUUAUGAUAUCUUGGAUCCUUUUGGGGGUGAUGUCUCAUUUGGUUUAUCCAUGUCAACUACAUUAGAAGAUUCUCAACUAGUUUUUAAUCACAACGGUAUUAGAAAAGUCAAAGUUAAUGAGGUGAAGGAGUAUGAGAAUUUCAUGUCUGUUCUAAAGGAGUGCUAGCAACACACUCUUUAACAAACACACUCUAACACGCUCUUUUUUAUUAGUUAAAAUUUAUAUGGGUUCCAUAAAAGUUAUAUGGGUCCAUAUUUUUUUAUGGGACCCAUGUGAAUUUCAACCAAUAAAAGAAAGUGUGUUGGAGUGUGUUUGUUAAAUAGUGUGUUGGUAGCAUUAUUCGUCUGUUCCAACUAAUAAUCCCCAUGAUGGAGGAGUUUGCAAAACUGUGUCAAACACUCAUGCGUUCAAGGAAGGCGAUCAUUCAAUAUCAACAAGUCUCACAUACAACCAAGGGGAUGCCGAUGUAAUAUUAGUGGAUGACGCUUUUUACAGGGCAGAUAACAAUUUAAUGUUGAUGAGUCAAUCUUAUAAUAAGGGAGAUGGCAACUUAUCAAUACCUUCAACAUGCAAAGAUAUUUGUAAUUCAAUAUCAAUGGAUCAAGGAUACAGGCAUGAAGAUAGUAAUGUCAUGUCUAUUGCUCAACCUAACAAGGCCCAUGGGAAUUCUAUGUUAAGUAACCACUUAUUCAAUAAGGUUGAAGAUGGCACCAUAUCAAUGGGCCACAUUCACCAUCAGAGGGGAAAUGACAUGCUGUUUUUUUGCUCAUUCUUAUAAUAAAGGUGGAAGGACUAUCAUAUCCUUUGGUGACUGUGAAAAUGACGAUGUAACUCCAUCUGACUUAUUUGUUUCCGACUACGGACUGUUUAUGGGUCAAGCACCUUUGUGUAUGUCGCAUAUGUCACAACUUGCGAAUGAAAAAGAGUUGGUUAGAUCAAGCACUAAACUACUUCCAAGUACAGCUCAGACAUCUGCAUCCGAAACUGAAAAUGUUACCAUGACAAAAGAGGAGAUGAAAAUGUGUAAAAAGGCUACUUCAAAUAACUUCCCUUCAAACGUUAGAAGUUUGCUAUCCACUGGUAUUACUGGAUGGCGUCUCUGUAAAGUAUAAAGCAUGGUCACGGGAGGUAAAAUUUAGUAUUCCUGACGAGUUCAUCUUUCCAGUAGCUUAUCUUUGAUCACAUGUCUGGUUUUUCCUAUGCCUGAUAGAAGGAACUUCGAGCUGUUAUAAAAGGUGCUGGGUAUUUGUGCAGCUGUCCGUCGUGUAGUUUUUCUAAGGCAAGUUUGUUUAGUCAUCAUAGAGGAGAAUCCUUUUGAAGCCAACUUGCUAUCUCUAAUAUUGCAUUUCUUCAGGUUAUUAACGCAUUCGAGUUUGAACGGCAUGCUGGUUGCAAGACAAAGCACCCAAAUAAUCAUAUUUACUUUGAGAAUGGGAAAACCAUAUAUGGAGUGGUACAAGAACUCAGGAUAACUCCACAGAAUAUGUUAUAUGUUAUUUGAAGUUAUUCAAACAAUAACUGGUUCACCUAUCAAUCAGAAAUCCUUCCGCAUCUGGAAAGAAUCCUUAUUGGCUGCAGCACACGAGCUCCGGCGCAUAUGUGGAAAAGAUGAGUCCCAAUAUAUAAAGAAGUGUAACAAACAUCCCAGCUUUGAUCAAUACAAGUAAUAAUUAAAUUAGGAGGAAAAAAUAAGACAACACAUGUAUAAGAGUGAAACACUACACCUAGUGGGACCCACACAUAAUCAAAUACUUUGACUCAUUCUCCUCAUUUACCAAAUGAGACAAACUCACCCUCAAUUCACUCUUCCUCUCUCUCUCUCUCUCUCUCUCUCUCUCUCUCUCUCUCUCUCUCUCGGAACAACAACAACAUCAAUUGGACAAGACUUGCAUGCAACUUAGCACUCAAUCCACAAUCAAUUGGACAAGAUGAAGCAAGAAUCACCUCUCAAUUUCUCUAUUCUGUCCCUCUUGGAAAACAACUAUCUUCCACCCCCAAUCUUCAUCUUUCUUUAAUGUUCAAGAUGCAUGUGGCUGUUUCUUCCAAUAUUAAGCUUUAAGGGGUCAAAUUCGAAGUGAAAAGAUGAAAGAGUCUCGUUUUGGUCUCACCUAGUUCGUGAGUGGGGUAACUAAAUCAAUUUUCCUCUUGUCAUUAGAUUGUAAAUUAUAAUUACAAGUUGUCUGAACAAUGGAAAAAUUUACAAAUGACACGUGUAUUCUUGUCGCACACAUUAUGGGAUAGCAUAUGAGGAUUUAAUACUGGGAAGUUAAGGGAGAAGGUUCAAGUUAAGAAAUAAUGCAUACACUGGCUUUGAAGAACAUUGAGAAUUUCAUAAUUGGAAUCGAAGCCUAAGAAGAAAUUGAAGGGAUUAAUGACCGAGGUACAUGGUACAAGUUUCGUGAGAUUUGGAUCAGUAUUGAAGUCGGUAGACGCUUCUGAAGUCAGAGUACUGAUGCUGUCAAAAUUCUGGUUUUGGGACUGCGGGUUUGCGCUUCAAGCGGCACGAACAGAUGUUCGAGAAUGUACUGAACGACUCGGCAAUGCUAGAAAUUAAGAUAGGCCUACAGGACGUGGUGAGAAGUCCAUGGAAUAGUAGCUGAUGAAGUUGCUUCAGUUGCUUAUUUUCACAUUUCCUUGUAUUAUGUAUCAUGUAUUUCAGACAUGUUGUAGUACACUUGUGACAUUUAUGUAUUAAGCUUAAGACAUCAGUACUAUUUAUGUGUUAAGAACUUUGGAUGUAGGUGAAUCCUAUUGUAAUUUUUGAUGUAUUCCAGUACCAUUAUGUAUAUUCUAUAUCGUAUUCUAGAUAUUCGAUAUGGGAUGUUAUAAGAA